GACGAACGCUGGCGGCGUGCUUAACACAUGCAAGUCGAACGGUGAAGCGCCUUCCUUUUUGGUGGGUGUGGAUGAGUGGCGAACGGGUGAGUAACACGUGAGUAACCUGCCCCCUUCUUCUGGAUAACCGCAUGAAAGUGUGGCUAAUACGGGAUAUUCUGGGUCUGUCGCAUGAUGGGUCUGGGAAAGAUAUUGUUUCGGUGGGGGAUGGGCUCGCGGCCUAUCAGCUUGUUGGUGGGGUGAUGGCCUACCAAGGCGGUGACGGGUAGCCGGCCUGAGAGGGUGGGCGGUCACACUGGGACUGAGACACGGCCCAGACUCCUACGGGAGGCAGCAGUGGGGAAUAUUGCACAAUGGGCGCAAGCCUGAUGCAGCGACGCCGCGUGAGGGAUGGAGGCCUUCGGGUUAUGAACCUCUUUCGCCAGUGAAGCAGGCCUGCCUCGUUUGUGGGUGGGUUGACGGUAGCUGGAUAAGAAGCGCCGGCUAACUACGUG
This 494-nucleotide ribosomal RNA is filed under the name uncultured bacterium. RNAcentral's name for it is "partial 16S ribosomal RNA". It matches the Rfam family "Bacterial small subunit ribosomal RNA", at positions 28 to 507 of the family's 1533-position model. The record is from RNAcentral.